This 1397-nucleotide long non-coding RNA is filed under the name Macaca fascicularis (crab-eating macaque). RNAcentral's name for it is "lncRNA (ENSMFAG00000061484.1)". The record is from RNAcentral. Lineage: Eukaryota; Metazoa; Chordata; Mammalia; Primates; Cercopithecidae.
CCCAUGCCUGUGAGCAGACCAGCUUCAGGCUCAGGUGUAGGUGCGGGAUGACCACGGCCACUGGGCACAGCAUCACUUCUCUGAGACUUGGAAAAAAACAGGAUAGGGGAAUUGGGGAUGUGCAAGGGAGGGCAGUGGCCACCGAGAUCGGUGCUUAGAAGGUCCUGUAGAUGAGAAGUGAGAAUUGCCUCGGGAGGCUGAGAGAUGCUCUUUGCUGUAUCACAUGUGAACCCUGUGGCUGGAAAUGGGAUGUUCCCUUUUAAAGAGAAUAUGGCAUCCUGGAGGAGCCCCCUUCUGUCAGUAGGAGAAUGGUCUGUGGUUAUAUGUGCUGCCAGGGGGCAAAGCUGGUCCUCAGAAAGAUGGGGUCUUUCCCUGUUUGGUGUCAUGAAGCCAAUACACAAAGCCGAAACUGAGUGUCAAGCAGUGCAGGACUGAUUCGAUGGCCAUGGAAUUGAGGAGCGAGAGCCUGGCUCACAAAUCGACUUCUCAACAAGUGAAGGGUGAAGGGGUGAGAAUAUAGGAUUUCUCUCUUGAAGGAGUUGGACGUUAAAAGCCAGGGUAGAAAUAUUCUCAUAUUUUCUGUAAUUGGGUGGUGAACUUCUUUGGAACCGAAGGGCUGCCUUCCUUUUUGUCCUUUGAUGGCUUCUUCUGGUCAUUGUCAUGGUGAUUGUCAACCUGUCAUAGCACUGGUGGGAGCAUCAUUUAGCAUGGAGAUGAGAUUAGAAUGAAGCCUGAUGAUGGGCUAUCUUGGCUCUAACCACUCCCAGUUGGUCUGGUUACAAAGGGAACUUUUUAUUGCAGGCAUCCUGUUUCUCAAAGACAAGCAGAGUCAGGACAUGGUAGAAAUUCAGCUAUGCCACGCAGGCAUUGCACUGGCUAUCACUAGCUUUCAUGGCCCCUCUGAGUGAUGAGAAAAGUCGCCCUCUGGGCAGGUGCACCAAUCAGAGCAUGGGCUGGAUUUCUGCCUCCCUGUCCCUUUUGGUCCAGAGCCUUUGUGGGACAGCUGUAGGAGGAGGCCCUGGGUACUGCAGUAGGUUUCAGCGGGAGGCAUGUGGUCAGGGAAGAGAACGGAAGGAGAGUGGGACCCUGCACCCAGGAUCCAGGAGGGUGGGGACCAACAUGUACCUGCAUCUGGAUCUAUAACCCUGGUGCUAGUCUGGCACAAUGUGUUCAGGAAAUGUUGCUGAGAAUGUCUGAAAAAUAAAUCACCUUCCUUUCGUUCCUUGGGAUGAGCCCUCAGCCUUCAUUGGAAUUGAGGAAUUCCAAAGAAGUUGGAACGAUUCUGGAAGUGAGGAAGAGGGUGCUAUUGGCCAUGUACGAUGAGAACUAAGGGGAAAUGCUUGCCUUAUUUUGUCAGCUUCAUUAGUGAAUGCUUUAGAAUCCUCAAAAAAAAAAAA